GCCACAGUGGCAUGCGCCUAUAGUCCUAGCUACUCUGGAGGCUGAGAUAGAAGGAUUGCUUGAGUCCAGGAGUUCUGGGCUAUAGUGUGCCAUGCUGAUUGGAUGUCCACACUAAGCUCAGCAUCAAUAUGGUGAUGUCCCAUGAGAGGGGACCACCAGGUUGCCUAAGGAGGGGUGAACCAGCUCAAGUCGAAACAGAAAAGGCCAAAACUCCCAUGCUGGUCAGAAAGUAGUUACUAUGACAACUGUCACAAAACCUUGCAUGUUAUUUACUACACCUGCAGGGUGAGACAUAAACACCAAUCUGU
RNAcentral lists this signal recognition particle RNA (308 nucleotides) under Castor canadensis (American beaver). Its description in RNAcentral is "Metazoan signal recognition particle RNA (ENSCCNG00000014076.1)". It matches the Rfam family "Metazoan signal recognition particle RNA". Rfam says of the family: The signal recognition particle (SRP) is a universally conserved ribonucleoprotein. The record is from RNAcentral. Lineage: Eukaryota; Metazoa; Chordata; Mammalia; Rodentia; Castoridae.